RNAcentral lists this non-coding RNA (23 nucleotides) under Rattus norvegicus (Norway rat). The record is from RNAcentral. Lineage: Eukaryota; Metazoa; Chordata; Mammalia; Rodentia; Muridae.
CUUAUAUAGUGUCAACGUUGUUU